RNAcentral lists this ribosomal RNA (466 nucleotides) under uncultured bacterium. Its description in RNAcentral is "bacterial SSU rRNA". It matches the Rfam family "Bacterial small subunit ribosomal RNA", at positions 28 to 494 of the family's 1533-position model. The record is from RNAcentral.
GACGAACGCUGGCGGCGUGCCUAACACAUGCAAGUCAACUUGACUGAAGGAGCAAUCUGACAGUAGAGUGGCGCAAGGGUGCGUAACGCGUAAGUAACUUGCCCAAGGUAAGGAAUAACGUCGAGAAAUCGGCGCUAAUACCUCAUAAUGCAGCGGAUCCGCAUGGAUAUGUUGUUAAAGGUUUACCGCCUUGGGAUAGGCUUGCGUCUGAUUAGUUAGUUGGUGUGGUAACGGCACACCAAGGCUACGAUCAGUAACUGGUCUGAGAGGAUGAUCAGUCACACUGGAACUGAGACACGGUCCAGACUCCUACGGGAGGCAGCAGUGAGGAAUAUUGGGCAAUGCUCGAAAGAGUGACCCAGCAACGCCGCGUGGAGGAUGAAGGUAUUCUAUAUCGUAAACUCCUGUGAGAGCAGACGAAAGACAGAUUAUUAAUCUGGAUGACUGUAUGCUCAGAGGAAGCCCC